UACGAAGGGGGAGAGCGUUGUUCGGAAUUACUGGGCGUAAAGGGAGUGUAGGCGGCCGAGUAAGAUAGCGGUGAAAUCCCAGGGCUUAACCUUGGAAUUGCCAUUAUAACUAUUUGGCUAGAAUGAUAGUGAGGAUAUCGGAAUACCCAGUGUAGAGGUGAAAUUCGUAGAUAUUGGGUAGAACACCGGUGGCGAAGGCGGGUAUCUGGCUAUCUAUUGACGCUGAGGCUCGAAAGCAUGGGGAUCAAAC
RNAcentral lists this ribosomal RNA (250 nucleotides) under uncultured prokaryote. RNAcentral's name for it is "partial 16S ribosomal RNA". It matches the Rfam family "Bacterial small subunit ribosomal RNA", at positions 524 to 773 of the family's 1533-position model. The record is from RNAcentral.